This 695-nucleotide ribosomal RNA is filed under the name Nonomuraea maheshkhaliensis. RNAcentral describes it as "bacterial SSU rRNA". It matches the Rfam family "Bacterial small subunit ribosomal RNA", at positions 67 to 783 of the family's 1533-position model. Lineage: Bacteria; Bacillati; Actinomycetota; Actinomycetes; Streptosporangiales; Streptosporangiaceae. The record is from RNAcentral.
CGGAAAGGCCCUUCGGGGUACUCGAGCGGCGAACGGGUGAGUAACACGUGAGCAACCUGCCCCUGACUCUGGGAUAAGCCCGGGAAACUGGGUCUAAUACCGGAUACGACCGCCCCCGGCAUCGGGUGGUGGUGGAAAGUUUUUCGGUUGGGGAUGGGCUCGCGGCCUAUCAGCUUGUUGGUGGGGUAGUGGCCUACCAAGGCGACGACGGGUAGCCGGCCUGAGAGGGCGACCGGCCACACUGGGACUGAGACACGGCCCAGACUCCUACGGGAGGCAGCAGUGGGGAAUAUUGCGCAAUGGGCGGAAGCCUGACGCAGCGACGCCGCGUGGGGGAUGACGGCCUUCGGGUUGUAAACCUCUUUCAGCAGGGACGAAGUUGACGUGUACCUGCAGAAGAAGCGCCGGCUAACUACGUGCCAGCAGCCGCGGUAAUACGUAGGGCGCAAGCGUUGUCCGGAAUUAUUGGGCGUAAAGAGCUCGUAGGUGGCUGGUCGCGUCUGCCGUGAAAGCCCGCAGCUUAACUGCGGGUCUGCGGUGGAUACGGGCCGGCUAGAGGUAGGUAGGGGCAAGUGGAAUUCCUGGUGUAGCGGUGAAAUGCGCAGAUAUCAGGAGGAACACCGGUGGCGAAGGCGGCUUGCUGGGCCUUACCUGACGCUGAGGAGCGAAAGCGUGGGGAGCGAACAGGAUUAGAU